ACGGAAGGCAGCAGUGGGGAAUAUUGGGCAAUGGGCGGAAGCCUGACCUAGCAACGCCGCGUGAAGGAAGAAGGUUUUCGGAUUGUAAACUUCUGUCCUUGGUGACGAAGGAAGUGACGGUAGCCAAGGAGGAAGCCCCGGCUAACUACGUGCCAGCAGCCGCGGUAAUACGUAGGGGGCAAGCGUUGUCCGGAAUGACUGGGCGUAAAGGGCGUGUAGGCGGCCGAUUAAGUCUGAAGUGAAAGUCCUGCUGUCAAGGUGGGAAUUGCUUUGGAGACUGGUUGGCUUGAGUGCGGAAGAGGUAAGUGGAAUUCCCAGUGUAGCGGUGAAAUGCGUAGAGAUUGGGAGGAACACCAGUGGCGAAGGCGACUUACUGGGCCGUAACUGACGCUGAGGCGCGAAAGCGUGGGUAGCAAACAGGAUUAGAUACCCUGGUA
Molecule: ribosomal RNA, 437 nt
Filed under: uncultured bacterium
Lineage: Bacteria
Description: partial 16S ribosomal RNA
Rfam family: Bacterial small subunit ribosomal RNA
Source: RNAcentral